AGAAUCAACGCUGGCGGCGUGCCUAACACAUGCAAGUCGCACGAGAAAGGGUAGCAAUACCUGAGUAAAGUGGCGCACGGGUGAGUAACACGUGAAUUAUCUACCUCCGAGUGGGGAAUAACUGAGAGAAAUCUUAGCUAAUACCGCAUAACACUUACGAGUCAAAGCAGCAAUGCGCUUGGAGAGGAGUUCGCGGCAGAUUAGUUAGUUGGCAGGGUAAUGGCCCACCAAGACGAUGAUCUGUA
RNAcentral lists this ribosomal RNA (245 nucleotides) under uncultured bacterium. Its description in RNAcentral is "partial small subunit ribosomal RNA". It matches the Rfam family "Bacterial small subunit ribosomal RNA", at positions 26 to 285 of the family's 1533-position model. The record is from RNAcentral.